RNAcentral lists this ribosomal RNA (484 nucleotides) under uncultured bacterium. Its description in RNAcentral is "bacterial SSU rRNA". It matches the Rfam family "Bacterial small subunit ribosomal RNA", at positions 28 to 526 of the family's 1533-position model. The record is from RNAcentral.
GACGAACGCUGGCGGCGUGCUUAACACAUGCAAGUCGAGCGGUAAGGCUCCUUCGGGAGUACACGAGCGGCGAACGGGUGAGUAACACGUGAGCAAUCUGCCCUUCACACUGGGAUAACCCCCGGAAACGGGUGCUAAUACCGGAUACGACCACUUCAGACAUCUGAUGGUGGUGGAAAGCUCCGGCGGUGGAGGAUGAGCUCGCGGCCUAUCAGCUUGUUGGUGAGGUAACGGCUCACCAAGGCUUCGACGGGUAGCCGGCCUGAGAGGGUGACCGGCCACACUGGGACUGAGACACGGCCCAGACUCCUACGGGAGGCAGCAGUGGGGAAUAUUGGACAAUGGGCGAAAGCCUGAUCCAGCAACGCCGCGUGAGGGAUGACGGCCUUCGGGUUGUAAACCUCUUUCACCCAGGACGAAGCGAAAGUGACUUAACUGGGAAAAGAAGCACCGGCCAACUACGUGCCAGCAGCCGCCGUAACAC